RNAcentral lists this ribosomal RNA (253 nucleotides) under uncultured bacterium. RNAcentral's name for it is "partial 16S ribosomal RNA". It matches the Rfam family "Bacterial small subunit ribosomal RNA", at positions 524 to 776 of the family's 1533-position model. The record is from RNAcentral.
GACGGAGGAUGCAAGCGUUAUCCGGAAUGAUUGGGCGUAAAGCGUCCGCAGGUGGCAGUUCAAGUCUGCUGUCAAAGACCGGGGCUUAACUUCGGAAAGGCAGUGGAAACUGAACAGCUAGAGUAUGGUAGGGGCAGAGGGAAUUCCUGGUGUAGCGGUGAAAUGCGUAGAUAUUAGGAAGAACAUCGGUGGCGAAGGCGGGUCUCUGGGCCGAUACUGACGCUGAGGAGCGAAAGCGUGGGGAGCAAACAGG